This 520-nucleotide ribosomal RNA is filed under the name uncultured Glomus. RNAcentral's name for it is "SSU rRNA". It matches the Rfam family "Eukaryotic small subunit ribosomal RNA", at positions 569 to 1092 of the family's 1831-position model. The record is from RNAcentral. Lineage: Eukaryota; Fungi; Glomeromycota; Glomeromycetes; Glomerales; Glomeraceae.
AGCAGCCGCGGUAAUUCCAGCUCCAAUAGCGUAUAUUAAAGUUGCUGCAGUUAAAAAGCUCGUAGUUGAAUUUCGGGACUAAUAUGUCGGUCGUGCCUCGGUACGUACUGGUAUUUUUGGUUUCUCCCUUCUGACGAACCUUGAUGUCAUUAAUUUGGUGUCUUAGGGAAUCAGGACCGUUACUUUGAAAAAAUUAGAGUGUUUAAAGCAGGCUCACGCUUGAAUACAUUAGCAUGGAAUAAUGAAAUAGGACGUUUGAUUCUAUUUUGUUGGUUUCUAGGAUUGACGUAAUGAUUAAUAGGGAUAGUUGGGGGCAUUAGUAUUCAAUUGUCAGAGGUGAAAUUCUUGGAUUUAUUGAAGACUAACUACUGUGAAAGCAUUUGCCAAGGAUGUUUUCAUUAAUCAAGAACGAAAGUUAGGGGAUCGAAGACGAUCAGAUACCGUCGUAGUCUUAACCAUAAACUAUGCCGACUAGGGAUCGGAUGAUGUUAAUUUUUAAUGACUCAUUCGGCGCCUUACG